RNAcentral lists this ribosomal RNA (339 nucleotides) under uncultured Spirochaeta sp. Its description in RNAcentral is "bacterial SSU rRNA". It matches the Rfam family "Bacterial small subunit ribosomal RNA", at positions 1044 to 1382 of the family's 1533-position model. The record is from RNAcentral. Lineage: Bacteria; Pseudomonadati; Spirochaetota; Spirochaetia; Spirochaetales; Spirochaetaceae.
CAUGGCUGUCGUCAGCUCGUGCUGUGAAGUGUUGGGUUAAGUCCCGCAACGAGCGCAACCCCUAUCAUCUGUUGCCAGCAUUUAAGGUGGGGACUCAGAUGAGACUGCCGGUGACAAACCGGAGGAAGGUGGGGACGACGUCGAAGUCAUCAUGGCCCUUAUGUCCUGGGCUACACACGUGCUACAAUGGCCGGUACAGAGUGAAGCGAGGCAGUGAUGCCAAGCGGAUCCCUUAAAGCCGGUCUCAGUUCGGAUUGAAGUCUGCAACUCGACUUCAUGAAGCUGGAAUCGCUAGUAAUCGUGGAUCAGCAUGCCACGGUGAAUACGUUCCCGGGCCUU